CUACGGGUCGCUCCAGUGGGGAAUAUUGCACAAUGGGCGCAAGCCUGAUGCAGCCAUGCCGCGUGUAUGAAGAAGGCCUUCGGGUUGUAAAGUACUUUCAGCGGGGAGGAAGGGAGUAAAGUUAAUACCUUUGCUCAUUGACAUUACCCGCAGAAGAAGCACCGGCUAACUCCGUGCCAGCAGCCGCGGUAAUACGGAGGGUGCAAGCGUUAAUCGGAAUUACUGGGCGUAAAGCGCACGCAGGCGGUUUGUUAAGUCAGAUGUGAAAUCCCCGGGCUCAACCUGGGAACGGCAUCUGAUACUGGCAAGCUUGAGUCUCGUAGAGGGGGGUAGAAUUCCAGGUGUAGCGGUGAAAUGCGUAGAGAUCUGGAGGAAUACCGGUGGCGAAGGCGGCCCCCUGGACGAAGACUGACGCUCAGGUGCGAAAGCGUGGGGAGCAAACAGGAUUAGAUACCGAGUAGUC
RNAcentral lists this ribosomal RNA (463 nucleotides) under uncultured bacterium. Its description in RNAcentral is "partial 16S ribosomal RNA". It matches the Rfam family "Bacterial small subunit ribosomal RNA", at positions 339 to 795 of the family's 1533-position model. The record is from RNAcentral.